GCCUUCGUGGUGUAGUAGUCAGCACGCUCGACGUGCAACCGAGAGGUCCGUGGUUCGAAUCCCGGCGAGAGCA
This 73-nucleotide transfer RNA is filed under the name Stegodyphus mimosarum. It matches the Rfam family "tRNA". From Rfam's summary of the family: Transfer RNA (tRNA) molecules are approximately 80 nucleotides in length. Their secondary structure includes four short double-helical elements and three loops (D, anti-codon, and T loops). Further hydrogen bonds mediate the characteristic L-shaped molecular structure. tRNAs have two regions of fundamental functional importance: the anti-codon, which is responsible for specific mRNA codon recognition, and the 3' end, to which the tRNAs corresponding amino acid is attached (by aminoacyl-tRNA synthetases). tRNAs cope with the degeneracy of the genetic code in two manners: having more than one tRNA (with a specific anti-codon) for a particular amino acid; and 'wobble' base-pairing, i.e. permitting non-standard base-pairing at the 3rd anti-codon position. The record is from Rfam by way of RNAcentral. Lineage: Eukaryota; Metazoa; Arthropoda; Arachnida; Araneae; Eresidae.